This 2104-nucleotide long non-coding RNA is filed under the name Strigops habroptila (Kakapo). RNAcentral describes it as "lncRNA (ENSSHBG00005001992.1)". Lineage: Eukaryota; Metazoa; Chordata; Aves; Psittaciformes; Psittacidae. The record is from RNAcentral.
GCUGAUUUUGCCUACACCUCAAUUAAAUAGCUUCAUUUUAACGGGAACAACUGCUUUCUCCCGUGGGUCCUCUCAAUCCAGGGCACUAGGUGUGCAAGGACAGAAGAGGGCACAUUCCCAGAUGUCUCUAGGCGUGUGUUACGCAUCUGAGAUCAGGCUUUCUCCUCACAUCCAGAGGCUGAGCCUCCCACCCACCCCGGAGAAUGGUCCUGCUCAGUACCGUGGCCAUUUUCCUUUGGAAGUAUUUCCCCCAUGCUGUGUAACUUCUGCCCUUACUGUGGACUCCCUGCUGAAUUUCUCUGUGGCAUGCAGGCCUGCAAAGGAUGGCAUCUCAAACUCCAUUUUACAUUGGUCCACCUGGAAAAUUGUCCUUGGAAGUUUCCAUCUCCUCCCCAAGUCUAAGAAAAAAUUGAUUGAAAAAUGGUUGAAAUUGUAUUAACAAAUUUUCAAGAGGGAACAGAUUUUUUUGCUGCCAAGCUGUAUAAUGGGUGUUUUUGAGAGGUCGUUAACUUCAACAGUAUAGUCAAAAACAGUGUUACACCUCGCACUGCAUCCUUCGUUAAGCAAUUAAGUUACUGAUAGGCUUUUACAUUUAUUUACCUUGAUGGAAAGAUAUGUUUACUCAACCUGAGUACAAAUCAACAUGAGGAGGGUGAAGUUCAGAGUAAAUUUGACUAAUGAUGUUGUGUUUUCAUCCUUAAAAGAAAGAAAAAAAGCCUCCUUGCUUUUGAUGCUAUUUUAUCUUCAUUGGAAGGGAUCCGAAAUGAUCCCAACUGUCAUGUGAGCACUCACUUAGGCUCAGAUCGUCUUUGAUUGCAGCUGAACAUCUCUCUCUGUUGGCUCAUACCUUCCCUUAUAUGAAUACAGUGUACUGCACUUCAGGUUGUUUAUUGAACAGCGUUUUAACUCUUCCUCUGUGGAUACUCUCAUGAUUAUAUAUCUUUAAGCAAAAUAUGGGCUGCAGCCACCUUUGCCUGGGGAGAUGUUAAUGCAGCUGCAACACUGAUGUGAAGGAAGAAUUUCCUCUCGGUUUCAGAAUAACUUCUAAAAUACAAACCUGAGUGGUACAAGUCAUAUUCCUUUCAGUGAACCUUAAUUAUCUCACCUUUUCUUUCAGGCCUGCUCUGUUCUCCAGCCUUGUUUUGUGGAUUUCUAUCUCUCCAAAUAAUUCCUCAGCAUCCCCUUGAAUGGCAUCUACCGCACUAGAGAGCUUUUCCAACCCACAAGCCUGAAACAACUUCCCACAACUGAAAUGACUCCAGCACAGCUAUUCCCUAGAAGACAUCCCUCCUGAUUUCUUGUGGGGCCUGUAAGAUAUCUGAAGUUGUAGCACAGCAAAGACAUGGAAAAGACACUGAGGUCCUAUUGCUCCUGUCGGAAAAUUCUGCUCGCUACAGCAUGAGUUGGAUUGGGCCCAGAGAAAGCAAAUACACACAAGUAAAGAGUUCACCAUACAAGCAAGGAAAAUCACAGAUAACAGGUGCAGACAAAUUAGCAACGUACCUUUUAGGUCAUCCAGUACAGCUCCGUGACACUGUGAGAUUGUUUUCUAUGGCAUAUUUUCAGGUGUUUUGUGUGCCUAGAUUAAAUGUCCUAAGUGAUGUCAUGUCCCUAGGGAGAGAUUGUGCUGCCUAGAGUAUCUUGUUGUCAGAAGUUUUUUUUUCCCUUUCUUAACAUCACCAUAUUUCUCCUAGUUACAUCCUUUUGCAAACUCCUUAUUUUCCUUCACUAAUGCAAUUUUCUUCCAGUAUCUUUUAACUACUGUGUUUAGUUAGCAUAAAGCCAACCCACAGCUAUUUAGAUCAUUUAAUCUUCCCUAACAAAUCAGUCCUUUCAGUCUCCUGGUUAUUCCUCCUUUCCUCUUGUCACACUCCUGCCUGUCAGUAUCUUUUUUAGUUCUGAGAUUUUAAAGAUGUGAUGCAUUUCUCUGAACUAAGGACAGAUCCGGUACAGAGCUGAGCACCCUCCUGAUGCGCCUAGGGAAAGCUGCCAGCAGUCUGGACAGACACACAGAUAGUAUCCUGCUCAAACCACUUCUCUUGUGCCACUUAUUCUAUUGGCCAACAAAACCCUGUUAAAACAGUUAACCUAGUAGUUCAAAAAA